This 497-nucleotide ribosomal RNA is filed under the name uncultured bacterium. Its description in RNAcentral is "partial 16S ribosomal RNA". It matches the Rfam family "Bacterial small subunit ribosomal RNA", at positions 28 to 507 of the family's 1533-position model. The record is from RNAcentral.
GAUGAACGCUGGCGGCGUGCCUAAUACAUGCAAGUCGAGCGAACAGACGAGGAGCUUGCUCCUCUGACGUUAGCGGCGGACGGGUGAGUAACACGUGGAUAACCUACCUAUAAGACUGGGAUAACUUCGGGAAACCGGAGCUAAUACCGGAUAAUAUAUUGAACCGCAUGGUUCAAUAGUGAAAGACGGUUUUGCUGUCACUUAUAGAUGGAUCCGCGCCGCAUUAGCUAGUUGGUAAGGUAACGGCUUACCAAGGCAACGAGGCGUAGCCGACCUGAGAGGGUGAUCGGCCACACUGGAACUGAGACACGGUCCAGACUCCUACGGGAGGCAGCAGUAGGGAAUCUUCCGCAAUGGGCGAAAGCCUGACGGAGCAACGCGGCGUGAGUGAUGAAGGUCUUCGGAUCGUAAAACUCUGUUAUUAGGGAAGAACAAAUGUGUAAGUAACUAUGCACGUCUUGACGGUACCUAAUCAGAAAGCCACGGCUAACUACGUG